GAUGAACGCUGGCGGCGUGCCUAAUACAUGCAAGUCGAGCGAACGGACGAGAAGCUUGCUUCUCUGAUGUUAGCGGCGGACGGGUGAGUAACACGUGGAUAACCUACCUAUAAGACUGGGAUAACUUCGGGAAACCGGAGCUAAUACCGGAUAAUAUCUUGAACCGCAUGGUUCAAAAGUGAAAGACGGUCUUGCUGUCACUUAUAGAUGGAUCCGCGCUGCAUUAGCUAGUUGGUAAGGUAACGGCUUACCAAGGCAACGCUGCAUAGCCGACCUGGGAGGGUGAUCGGCCACACUGGAGCUGAGACACGGUCCAGACUCCUACGGGAGGCAGCAGUAGGGAAUCGUCCGCAAUGGGCGAAAGCCUGACGGAGCGACGCCACGUGAGUGAUGAAGGUCUUCGGAUCGGAAAACUCUGUUAUGAGGGAAGAACAUAUGUGUAAGGAACGGUGCACAUCGUGACGGUACCUAAUCAGAAAGCCACGGCUAACUACGUG
RNAcentral lists this ribosomal RNA (497 nucleotides) under uncultured bacterium. Its description in RNAcentral is "partial 16S ribosomal RNA". It matches the Rfam family "Bacterial small subunit ribosomal RNA", at positions 28 to 507 of the family's 1533-position model. The record is from RNAcentral.